RNAcentral lists this ribosomal RNA (500 nucleotides) under uncultured bacterium. RNAcentral's name for it is "bacterial SSU rRNA". It matches the Rfam family "Bacterial small subunit ribosomal RNA", at positions 8 to 507 of the family's 1533-position model. The record is from RNAcentral.
AGAGUUUGAUCAUGGCUCAGGACGAACGCUGGCGGCGUGCUUAACACAUGCAAGUCGAACGAGAAUCUAUGGAUCGAGGAUUCGUCCAAGUGAAGUAGAGGACAGUGGCGGACGGGUGAGUAACGCGUGAGGAACCUGCCUUUCAGAGGGGGACAACAGUUGGAAACGACUGCUAAUACCGCAUGACACAUAGAGAUCGCAUGGUUUUUAUGUCAAAGAUUUAUCGCUGAAAGAUGGCCUCGCGUCUGAUUAGCUAGUUGGUGAGGUAACGGCCCACCAAGGCGACGAUCAGUAGCCGGACUGAGAGGUUGACCGGCCACAUUGGGACUGAGAUACGGCCCAGACUCCUACGGGAGGCAGCAGUGGGGAAUAUUGGGCAAUGGGCGCAAGCCUGACCCAGCAACGCCGCGUGAAGGAAGAAGGCUUUCGGGUUGUAAACUUCUUUUGUCGGGGACGAGUAGAAGACGGUACCUGGCGAAUAAGCCACGGCUAACUACGUG